This 497-nucleotide ribosomal RNA is filed under the name uncultured bacterium. RNAcentral describes it as "partial 16S ribosomal RNA". It matches the Rfam family "Bacterial small subunit ribosomal RNA", at positions 28 to 507 of the family's 1533-position model. The record is from RNAcentral.
GAUGAACGCUGGCGGCGUGCCUAAUACAUGCAAGUCGAGCGAACGGACGAGAAGCUUGCUUCUCUGAUGUUAGCGGCGGACGGGUGAGUAACACGUGGAUAACCUACCUAUAAGACUGGGAUAACUUCGGGAAACGGGAGCUAAUACGGGUUAUUAUUUUGAACGGCUGGUUUGAAAAGUGAAGGACGGUCUUGCGGUCCCUAUUAGAUGGAUCCGCGCUGCUUUAGCUAGUUGGUAAGGUAACGGCUUACCAAGGCAACGAUGCAUAGCCGACCUGAGAGGGUGAUCGGCCACACUGGAACUGAGACACGGUCCAGACUCCUACGGGAGGCAGCAGUAGGGAAUCUUCCGCAAUGGGCGAAAGCCUGACGGAGCAACGCCGCGUGAGUGAUGAAGGUCUUCGGAUCGUAAAACUCUGUUAUUAGGGAAGAACAUAUGUGUAAGUAACUGUGCACAUCUUGACGGUACCUAAUCAGAAAGCCACGGCUAACUACGUG